CAUUGCAAAUUGCAAAUGUAGCUGGACUUGAAUGGCCUUCUUUUGACUGAAAGUACUGCCAAACUACACUUUUUCUGAGUUCCAUUUUCACUUUCUCACAGCCUACCGCAUUGAAGGCUCCACCAACGUAAACACCUUCCCGUAAUCAACGGCGCCGUCAUUACGUCGACCAGCGUAGCGGGCGUAGUGCAAGUGUAGGGUUAGAUUCAGAGGAAAAA
Molecule: long non-coding RNA, 218 nt
Organism: Sander lucioperca (pikeperch)
Lineage: Eukaryota; Metazoa; Chordata; Actinopteri; Perciformes; Percidae
Exons: 3
Source: RefSeq, a predicted model, not a curated record